RNAcentral lists this ribosomal RNA (1040 nucleotides) under Dolabella auricularia (sea hare). RNAcentral's name for it is "16S ribosomal RNA". It matches the Rfam family "Bacterial large subunit ribosomal RNA", at positions 563 to 2727 of the family's 2925-position model. The record is from RNAcentral. Lineage: Eukaryota; Metazoa; Mollusca; Gastropoda; Aplysiida; Aplysiidae.
UAUUCACUAAGAUUUAUUUUCUUUUAAGAAUUAAUAACCGAAAGGGUUAAAUAAAGAUUAGUAAAAUAGUAAAUCGUACUUUUUGUAUAACGGCUGUUCCAAAAGAAGAUGAAGUUUUAUUUUCCCGAAAUAAGAAGAUCUAAGUUGAAACUUUUGUUGGAAAUCAAGAAGUUAUGUAUCAUUAUAACACUGAGAUUUCAACUUAGGGGCGAAAAACCUACAAUUCUUAUGAUAUCUGGAUGUUCACGAAAAGUAUUUAGUACUAUAGACAGACAGCGAGUGCUUAGAUUUGCUGUAAAGAGAAUAAUAAAUGAAAUUUUAGUUUUAGGGUUAACACCCGAAUUUAAUUGAUAAAAUAAAAAGAUUAAUUUUGUCAUAAAUCUCUGUUGUUAGUGAACUUUCAUGUUAACUAAAAGAUGUUUAUUUAUGAUUAGAUGAGUAAUGCUGAAAAAAUAAGGAAAAGGAACUCGGCAAAUCUUUAUCUCAACUGUUUAUCAAAAACAUAGCCUAGAGGGAAUAAUUCUAGGUGAAGCCUGCCCAGUGACAGAGAUUUUAACGGCCGCGGUACUUUGACCGUGCUAAGGUAGCAUAAUCAGUUGACUUUUAAAUGAAGUCUUGUAUGAAUGGAUCCAUGGGAUUAGGCUGUCUCUUCCUUACUCUAUUGAAAUUACUAAAUAGGUGAAAAGGCCUAUAAAUGAAAAAAGACGAGAAGACCCUUAGAGUUUUUAAUGAAGGAUUUUUGUUGGGGCGACAAGAAGACAUUUAGUAACUCUUCUAGUAGACAAUUGAACUUGCCGAUUCUUUUAAGUAUGGAUAAACUACCUGAGGGAUAACAGCAUAAUCCAAUUUUUGGGUUUGUGACCUCGAUGUUGGACUAGGAAACUUGUACUCUAGCAGGGUAUAAAGUUAGGUUCUGUUCGAACUUUUCUUCCUACAUGAUCUGAGUUCAGACCGGCGUGAGCCAGGUCAGAUUCUAUCUUUUUAAAUUGAAAUUUUAGUACGAAAGGACCAAAUUAGAUCAGUUAAUUAAUAAUUUUGAC